AUAAAGCCGUUUGAAAAAGCAAAGUAAGAUAACAAAAAUGUAUUUAAGAGAGAAUAGGUCAAAGGCUGAAAGCCUAUUUAUUACAAGCUUAUCCGAAAUUUCACUUUUUAGGUCUUAUAUUGAAACAACAGUAGGUAUAAGCGUGAGCUAGCGUUAAUAGCAUAAUGAGGUUAAUUAUUUAAUUAAUAAAUUUAGGUGGUAACACGGUAAAAAUCGUCCUAUGU
RNAcentral lists this non-coding RNA (224 nucleotides) under Clostridium sp. RNAcentral's name for it is "T-box sequence". It matches the Rfam family "T-box leader". Rfam says of the family: Uncharged tRNA acts as the effector for transcription antitermination of genes in the T-box leader family. T-boxes are found upstream of many aminoacyl-tRNA synthetase genes and some amino acid biosynthetic genes usually in Gram-positive bacteria. Lineage: Bacteria; Bacillati; Bacillota; Clostridia; Eubacteriales; Clostridiaceae. The record is from RNAcentral.